This is a long non-coding RNA of Callithrix jacchus (white-tufted-ear marmoset), 857 nucleotides long. RefSeq lists it as uncharacterized. Lineage: Eukaryota; Metazoa; Chordata; Mammalia; Primates; Cebidae. The record is from RefSeq and is a predicted model, not a curated record.
UUAGAUUACUCUAAGAGAGCUUUUCCUGAUUAUAAGCUUUUGUGGAUAUAUGGUCUGAAUGUUUGUGGCCCCCUAACAUUUGUAUGUUCAAUGCUGAGGGUGAUGAGGUGGGGCCUUGGGAAAUGAUGAAGUCAUAAGGGUGGUACCCUCAUGGAUGGGAUUAGUCCCCUUAUAAAACAGACCCCAGGGACAUACAUCCCCUGCCUCUCCUACCAUGUGAGGACACAACAAGAAGAUAGCUGUCUGUGAACCAGGAAUUGAGCCCUCACCAGAGAGAACCUGACCAUGCUGGUGUUCUGAUCUUGACUUUCUAGCCUGAGAACUGAAGAAGCAUAAAGCGGAGAGGUGGAAACAUAUCUGCAAAUUCUUUGAUGCUCCUUCCACCAGAAGGUGGAGUCUGUGUGCCCUUUCCUUGCAACUGGCAGGACCUCUGUGAUCGUGUCCUCCUUGCAUGUGGCAGGACCUCUGAGAACAGAAUGUUGCAGAAGUGACACUGUGCGAGAGACUUGAGAGUCAGGUUUACAAAAGCUUGAAGCAGUACCUCUGGGAGCCUUCAGACACCAGUUACUCUGAGGCUACCACAUGGAGAGUACUUGGAAAGAACAAAGAGAUGCUCUUGGACAUCUCUUGUGCAAACAACACUUGUGUGGAACAGCCCAGCUGUUCCGGACUCCAGCUGUUUGUGCCCUCUCACUGAGACAUCAGACAUGUGAAUGACAAAGUCUUUAAGAUGACCCUAGACCCAGCCACCAUCUGACUGCAACUGCAUGAGAGACCCUGUGCAAGAAUCAUCUAGCUGAUCCCAGUCAACUCUCAGAACCAGGAGAGAGAAUAAUAAUACAUGAUUGUUGCUGCAA